CAUUCGAGUGGCGGACGGGUGAGUAACGCGUGGGUAACCUGCCUUACACAGGGGGAUAACACCUGGAAACAGGUGCUAAUACCGCAUAAGCGCACAGGGCCGUAUGGCCCGGUGUGAAAAACUCCGGUGGUGUAAGAUGGACCCGCGUCUGAUUAGCUUGUUGGCGGGGUAGGGGCCCAUCAAGGCGACGAUCAGUAGCCGGCCUGAGAGGGUGGACGGCCACAUUGGGACUGAGACACGGCCCAAACUCCUACGGAAGGCAGCAG
RNAcentral lists this ribosomal RNA (266 nucleotides) under uncultured bacterium. Its description in RNAcentral is "partial 16S ribosomal RNA". It matches the Rfam family "Bacterial small subunit ribosomal RNA", at positions 88 to 354 of the family's 1533-position model. The record is from RNAcentral.